Molecule: ribosomal RNA, 491 nt
Filed under: uncultured bacterium
Lineage: Bacteria
Description: bacterial SSU rRNA
Rfam family: Bacterial small subunit ribosomal RNA
Source: RNAcentral
UGAGACACGGCCCAAACUCCUACGGGAGGCAGCAGUGGGGGAUAUUGGACAAUGGGGGGAACCCUGAUCCAGCGACGCCGCGUGAGUGAAGAAGUAUCUCGGUAUGUAAAGCUCUAUCAGCAGGGAAGAAGAAAUGACGGUACCUGAGUAAGAAGCCCCGGCUAACUACGUGCCAGCAGCCGCGGUAAUACGUAGGGGGCAAGCGUUAUCCGGAAUUACUGGGUGUAAAGGGAGCGUAGACGGUGAUGUAAGUCUGGAGUGAAAGGCGGGGGCCCAACCCCCGGACUGCUCUGGAAACUAUGUGACUGGAGUGCAGGAGAGGUGAGCGGAAUUCCUAGUGUAGCGGUGAAAUGCGUAGAUAUUAGGAGGAACACCAGUGGCGAAGGCGGCUCACUGGACUGUAACUGACGUUGAGGCUCGAAAGCGUGGGGAGCAAACAGGAUUAGAUACCCUGGUAGUCCACGCCGUAAACGAUGAUCACUAGGUGUGGG